UACGGGGGGGGCAAGCGUUGUUCGGAAUUACUGGGCGUAAAGGGCUCGUAGGUGGCCAACUAAGUCAGACGUGAAAUCCCUCGGCUUAACCGGGGAACUGCGUCUGAUACUGGAUGGCUUGAGUUUGGGAGAGGGAUGCGGAAUUCCAGGUGUAGCGGUGAAAUGCGUAGAUAUCUGGAGGAACACCGGUGGCGAAGGCGGCAUCCUGGGCCAACACUGACACUGAGGAGCGAAAGCCAGGGGAGCAAACGGG
RNAcentral lists this ribosomal RNA (253 nucleotides) under uncultured bacterium. Its description in RNAcentral is "partial 16S ribosomal RNA". It matches the Rfam family "Bacterial small subunit ribosomal RNA", at positions 524 to 776 of the family's 1533-position model. The record is from RNAcentral.